Molecule: ribosomal RNA, 2151 nt
Filed under: Listeria monocytogenes
Lineage: Bacteria; Bacillati; Bacillota; Bacilli; Caryophanales; Listeriaceae
Description: partial 23S ribosomal RNA
Rfam family: Bacterial large subunit ribosomal RNA
Source: RNAcentral
UUGGUUAAGUUAGAAAGGGCGCACGGUGGAUGCCUUGGCACUAGGAGCCGAAGAAGGACGGGACUAACACCGAUAUGCUUUGGGGAGCUGUACGUAAGCGUUGAUCCAGAGAUUUCCGAAUGGGGGAACCCACUAUCUUUAGUCGGAUAGUAUCCUUACGUGAAUACAUAGCGUGAGGAAGGCAGACCCAGGGAACUGAAACAUCUAAGUACCUGGAGGAAGAGAAAGAAAAAUCGAUUUCCUGAGUAGCGGCGAGCGAAACGGAAAGAGCCCAAACCAAGAAGCUUGCUUCUUGGGGUUGUAGGACACUCUAUACGGAGUUACAAAAGAAAGUUAUAAAUGAAGCGGUCUGGAAAGGCCCGCCAAAGACGGUAACAGCCCGGUAGUUGAAAUGGCUUUCCCUCCAGAGUGGAUCCUGAGUACGGCGGAACACGUGAAAUUCCGUCGGAAUCCGGGAGGACCAUCUCCCAAGGCUAAAUACUCCCUAGUGACCGAUAGUGAACCAGUACCGUGAGGGAAAGGUGAAAAGCACCCCGGAAGGGGAGUGAAACAGUUCCUGAAACCGUGUGCCUACAAGUAGUUAGAGCCCGUUAAUGGGUGAUAGCGUGCCUUUUGUAGAAUGAACCGGCGAGUUACGAUUUGUUGCAAGGUUAAGCGGAAAAAGCGGAGCCGUAGCGAAAGCGAGUCUGAAUAGGGCGCAUAAGUAACAGGUCGUAGACCCGAAACCAGGUGAUCUACCCAUGUCCAGGAUGAAGGUAAGGUAAUACUUACUGGAGGUCCGAACCCACGCACGUUGAAAAGUGCGGGGAUGAGGUGUGGGUAGCGGAGAAAUUCCAAUCGAACUUGGAGAUAGCUGGUUCUCUCCGAAAUAGCUUUAGGGCUAGCCUCGAGGUAAAGAGUCAUGGAGGUAGAGCACUGUUUGGACUAGGGGCCCUUCUCGGGUUACCGAAUUCAGAUAAACUCCGAAUGCCAUGUACUUAUACUCGGGAGUCAGACUGCGAGUGAUAAGAUCCGUAGUCGAAAGGGAAACAGCCCAGACCACCAGUUAAGGUCCCCAAAUAUAUGUUAAGUGGAAAAGGAUGUGGGGUUGCUUAGACAACCAGGAUGUUGGCUUAGAAGCAGCCACCAUUGAAAGAGUGCGUAAUAGCUCACUGGUCGAGUGACCCCGCGCCGAAAAUGUACCGGGGCUAAACAUAUUACCGAAACUGUGGAUGAACCUCUUUAGAGGUUCGUGGUAGGAGAGCGUUCUAAGGGCGGUGAAGUCAGACCGGAAGGACUGGUGGAGCGCUUAGAAGUGAGAAUGCCGGUAUGAGUAGCGAAAGAAGGGUGAGAAUCCCUUCCACCGAAUAUCUAAGGUUUCCUGAGGAAGGCUCGUCCGCUCAGGGUUAGUCGGGACCUAAGCCGAGGCCGAUAGGCGUAGGCGAUGGACAACAGGUAGAGAUUCCUGUACCAGUGCUAAUUGUUUAACCGAUGGGGUGACACAGAAGGAUAGGGAAUCGCACGAAUGGAAAUGUGCGUCCAAGCAGUGAGUGUGAGAAGUAGGCAAAUCCGCUUCUCGCGAAGCAUGAGCUGUGAUGGGGAAGGAAAUUAAGUACGGAAGUUCCUGAUUUCACGCUGUCAAGAAAAGCCUCUAGGAAGAGUAGUACUGCCCGUACCGCAAACCGACACAGGUAGAUGAGGAGAGAAUCCUAAGGUGAGCGAGAGAACUCUCGUUAAGGAACUCGGCAAAAUGACCCCGUAACUUCGGGAGAAGGGGUGCUCUAUUAGGGUGCAAGCCCGAGAGAGCCGCAGUGAAUAGGCCCAGGCGACUGUUUAGCAAAAACACAGGUCUCUGCAAAACCGUAAGGUGACGUAUAGGGGCUGACGCCUGCCCGGUGCUGGAAGGUUAAGAGGAGUGCUUAGCUUCGGCGAAGGUACGAAUUGAAGCCCCAGUAAACGGCGGCCGUAACUAUAACGGUCCUAAGGUAGCGAAAUUCCUUGUCGGGUAAGUUCCGACCCGCACGAAAGGCGCAACGAUCUGGGCACUGUCUCAACGAGAGACUCGGUGAAAUUAUAGUACCUGUGAAGAUGCAGGUUACCCGCGACAGGACGGAAAGACCCCGUGGAGCUUUACUGCAACCUGAUAUGGAAUGUUUGUACCGCUUGUACAGG